This 77-nucleotide transfer RNA is filed under the name Lentisphaeria bacterium. RNAcentral's name for it is "tRNA-Arg". It matches the Rfam family "tRNA". From Rfam's summary of the family: Transfer RNA (tRNA) molecules are approximately 80 nucleotides in length. Their secondary structure includes four short double-helical elements and three loops (D, anti-codon, and T loops). Lineage: Bacteria; Pseudomonadati; Lentisphaerota; Lentisphaeria. The record is from RNAcentral.
GCACUCGUAGCUCAGUUGGAUAGAGCGUCUGCCUCCGGAGUAGAAGGUCGUGGGUUCAAGUCCCGCCGAGUGCACCA